GACGAACGCUGGCGGCGUGCUUAACGCAUGCAAGUCGAACGGAAAGGCUCCAGCUUGCUGGAGUACUCGAAUGGCGGACGGGUGAGUAACACGUGGGUAAUCUGCCCUGCACUCUGGGAUAAGCCUGGGAAACUGGGUCUAAUACUGGAUAUGACCUUUCUCCUUAUGGGGUUUGGUGACAGUUUUUCGGUGUAGGAUGGGCCCGCGGCCUAUCAGCUUGUUGGUGGGGUGAUGGCCUACCAAGGCGACGACGGGUAGCCGGCCUGAGAGGGUGAUCGGCCACAUUGGGACUGAGAUACGGCCCAGACUCCUACGGGAGGCAGCAGUGGGGAAUAUUGCACAAUGGGCGGAAGCCUGAUGCAGCGACGCCGCGUGAGGGAUGACGGCCUUCGGGUUGUAAACCUCUUUCAGCAGGGACGAAGCGUAAGUGACGGUACCUGCAGAAGAAGCACCGGCUAACUAUGUGCCAGCCGCCGCCGUAA
RNAcentral lists this ribosomal RNA (482 nucleotides) under uncultured bacterium. Its description in RNAcentral is "partial 16S ribosomal RNA". It matches the Rfam family "Bacterial small subunit ribosomal RNA", at positions 28 to 523 of the family's 1533-position model. The record is from RNAcentral.